Molecule: ribosomal RNA, 253 nt
Filed under: uncultured bacterium
Lineage: Bacteria
Description: partial 16S ribosomal RNA
Rfam family: Bacterial small subunit ribosomal RNA
Source: RNAcentral
CACGUAGGGCGCAAGCGUUGUCCGGAAUUAUUGGGCGUAAAGAGCUCGUAGGCGGCCUGUUGCGUCUGCUGUGAAAACUCGGGGCUUAACCCCGAGCCUGCAGUGGAUACGGGCAGACUAGAGGUAGGUAGGGGAGACUGGAAUUCCUGGUGUAGCGGUGAAAUGCGCAGAUAUCAGGAGGAACACCGAUGGCGAAGGCAGGUCUCUGGGCCACUACUGACGCUGAGAAGCGAAAGCAUGGGGAGCGAACAGG